Molecule: ribosomal RNA, 300 nt
Filed under: uncultured Rhodospirillaceae bacterium
Lineage: Bacteria; Pseudomonadati; Pseudomonadota; Alphaproteobacteria; Rhodospirillales; Rhodospirillaceae
Description: bacterial SSU rRNA
Rfam family: Bacterial small subunit ribosomal RNA
Source: RNAcentral
CGCGUGGGAACCUGCCCUAGAGUGCGGAACAACAGUUGGAAACGACUGCUAAUACCGCAUAAUCCCUACGGGGAAGGACUUCGCCGCUCUUGGAUGGUCCCGCCGUUAGAUUAGCUAGUUGGUAGGGUAAUGGCUUACCAAGGCGACGAUCUAUAGCUGGUUUGAGAGGAUGAUCAGCCACACUGGGACUGAGACACGGCCCAGACUCCUACGGGAGGCAGCAGUGGGGAAUAUUGGACAAUGGGGGAAACCCGUAUGAUCCAGCAAUGCCGCGUGAGUGAAGAAGGCCCUAGGGUUGUA